CCGCCAGUUGCUCAAGGCGGGCGUGCUGC
Molecule: small RNA, 29 nt
Filed under: Bombyx mori (domestic silkworm)
Lineage: Eukaryota; Metazoa; Arthropoda; Insecta; Lepidoptera; Bombycidae
Description: ovarian small RNA-13856
Source: RNAcentral